RNAcentral lists this ribosomal RNA (643 nucleotides) under uncultured bacterium. RNAcentral describes it as "bacterial SSU rRNA". It matches the Rfam family "Bacterial small subunit ribosomal RNA", at positions 188 to 848 of the family's 1533-position model. The record is from RNAcentral.
GCAUCGGGAAGAGGGAAAAGGAGCAAUCCGCUUUGAGAUGGCCUCGCGUCCGAUUAGCUAGUUGGUGAGGUAACGGCCCACCAAGGCAACGAUCGGUAGCCGGACUGAGAGGUUGAACGGCCACAUUGGGACUGAGACACGGCCCAGACUCCUACGGGAGGCAGCAGUGGGGAAUAUUGCACAAUGGGGGAAACCCUGAUGCAGCGACGCCGCGUGGAGGAAGAAGGUCUUCGGAUUGUAAACUCCUGUUGUUGAGGAAGAUAAUGACGGUACUCAACAAGGAAGUGACGGCUAACUACGUGCCAGCAGCCGCGGUAAAACGUAGGUCACAAGCGUUGUCCGGAAUUACUGGGUGUAAAGGGAGCGCAGGCGGGAAGACGAGUUGGAAGUGAAAUCCAUGGGCUCAACCCAUGAACUGCUUUCAAAACUGUUUUUCUUGAGUAGUGCAGAGGUAGGCGGAAUUCCCGGUGUAGCGGUGGAAUGCGUAGAUAUCGGGAGGAACACCAGUGGCGAAGGCGGCCUACUGGGCACCAACUGACGCUGAGGCUCGAAAGUGUGGGUAGCAAACAGGAUUAGAUACCCUGGUAGUCCACACCGUAAACGAUGAUUACUAGGUGUUGGAGGAUUGACCCCUUCAGUGCCG